CCGAGGCGCAAAAGUGGCCUCAGAGGCGAGCCCUCGCGACGGAAAGAGGGCGCGCGCACCCCAGCCCGUCCGCGCCCGUCGUCUUGCCGGGGCGGUUCGCCGAGAGAAAACUUCCUUUGCGACUUACGUGGGUCUCCGGGACGCAAACGCGUGUCUUGGAACAGAAAACGAAAAAGCCGUGACCGAAGCAAGAAGGCAAAUAGGAAAGGAUGCUAUUGUAUCGUCAACAAAAGAGAAAUGGAAACCAAUCGUGAUAAGUAAUUUUGUUCCAGUGUUUUAGACUACCUGAUCUCGUGUAUAUCAUUUUCAUGGAAGUAAAUCUUGUUUAGUACAACUAGAAUUCUUCCCAACAGAGGAUGCCCAGAAUAACAUAUCUGAUGUUUUCACCUAUGGAUGCCUUCAUACACCCUCCUUUCUACAGUAUUAUCUUCUUGGACACUAAAGCAGACCCUUUGUCCCCCCCCCUUUUGGUACUAUCAUGGGUCUGAUGCUACAAUUAUCAAAUUGUCAUGAUAGGUAUAGGUUCUUUCGUUCCUACAUUCCUCUGUAAAUCCAUGGAAACUUUGUCACAA
Molecule: non-coding RNA, 572 nt
Organism: Python bivittatus (Burmese python)
Lineage: Eukaryota; Metazoa; Chordata; Lepidosauria; Squamata; Pythonidae
Source: RefSeq, a predicted model, not a curated record